Molecule: ribosomal RNA, 497 nt
Filed under: uncultured bacterium
Lineage: Bacteria
Description: partial 16S ribosomal RNA
Rfam family: Bacterial small subunit ribosomal RNA
Source: RNAcentral
GAUGAACGCUGGCGGCGUGCCUAAUACAUGCAAGUCGAGCGAACAGACGAGGAGCUUGCUCCUCUGACGUUAGCGGCGGACGGGUGAGUAACACGUGGAUAACCUACCUAUAAGACUGGGAUAACUUCGGGAAACCGGAGCUAAUACCGGAUAAUAUAUUGAACCGCAUGGUUCAAUAGUGAAAGACGGUUUUGCUGUCACUUAUAGAUGGAUCCGCGCCGCAUUAGCUAGUUGGUAAGGUAACGGCUUACCAAGGCAACGAUGCGUAGCCGACCUGAGAGGGUGAUCGGCCACACUGGAACUGGGACACGGUCCAGACUCCUACGGGAGGCAGCAGUAGGGAAUCUUCCGCAAUGGGCGAAAGCUUGACGGAGCAACGCCGCGUGAGUGAUGAAGGUCUUCCGAUCGUAAAACUCUGUUAUUAGGGAAGAACAAAUGUGUAAGUAACUAUGCACGUCUUGACGGUACCUAAUCAGAAAGCCACGGCUAACUACGUG